This is a long non-coding RNA of Lolium perenne, 807 nucleotides long. RefSeq lists it as uncharacterized. Lineage: Eukaryota; Viridiplantae; Streptophyta; Magnoliopsida; Poales; Poaceae. The record is from RefSeq and is a predicted model, not a curated record.
AUGAUCCAGAAUGAAGGGUCAGUAGAGGAGCAUAGGCCAAAGUGAAGAAAGGGAGGGGCUCGGCUCUGUCACCGCACAUGGUAGAUCGCAGAGAAGAAGCGAAAUCGCUCUCCAUCCUGUCUGCACACACGGAACAAUGGAGUCCAGUAGUUGACCAAAAAUCCAGUUUGGUCUGCGCGCGCAAGGUCAGGGAAGGUGGACUGCAGAUAAGGGGAAACAUCCCUAGACGGAGGACAGCUAGUGGGCGCCUGCAGCUUACAGAGAACAGCAAGAAGCAAAUCUAGCUGAUCUGCUACAAACUGUAAAGAAAAGACGACUCACCAUAUGAUGCUUCUGAAGUUGGUGAAUGAAAAGAGGGUCAAGGUUGAUCAUGCGGUUAUUGAGACAACAGGUAAAUCUCAUUGGUACCGAAACAGAGGACGCCGAGGAGGACCGAUAUCGGUAGCGGCUGGCCGGCUGGGUCGAGAUCAGAAGCGGACGCUCAACCCGGCUAGCUCUGGUAACAUGUUUCGUUUUCGGUGGGGACUGGCCGGUAACAGUUUUGAGCUGCGCUGGGACUCGAUUACACGAUACUUGUUUUUGGAGGAACUAAAUCAAACACGAUUAACGGAAAGAGGUAACAAUGUAAUCGGUGAAAAUAUGCGAACCAAAUUCUUCCUUGGAGGAUAGAAAAAUGAGGAUGGGUUUUUACUACGUAGUAUGCAUUGCAAGAAAUUUUAUACGUAUUUUUGUAUACGUUACUUUGUAACUUAUUCUUAUAAAAGAAUUGUUGUCAAUGUAUAAAAAAAGUAGUAUGCUUCACAUUCA